Molecule: ribosomal RNA, 439 nt
Filed under: uncultured beta proteobacterium
Lineage: Bacteria; Pseudomonadati; Pseudomonadota; Betaproteobacteria
Description: bacterial SSU rRNA
Rfam family: Bacterial small subunit ribosomal RNA
Source: RNAcentral
GGAUCGCAAGACCUUGCGCUCUUUGAGCGGCCGAUGUCUGAUUAGCUAGUUGGUGAGGUAAAGGCUUACCAAGGCGACGAUCGGUAGUUGGUCUGAGAGGACGACCAGCCACACUGGGACUGAGACACGGCCCAGACUCCUACGGGAGGCAGCAGUGGGGAAUUUUGGACAAUGGGCGCAAGCCUGAUCCAGCAAUGCCGCGUGAGUGAAGAAGGCCUUCGGGUUGUAAAGCUCUUUCAGUCGAGAAGAAAAGAUUGUGACUAAUAAUCAUAAUUUAUGACGGUAUCGACAGAAGAAGCACCGGCUAACUACGUGCCAGCAGCCGCGGUAAUACGUAGGGUGCGAGCGUUAAUCGGAAUUACUGGGCGUAAAGGGUGCGCAGGCGGUUCUGCAAGUCAGAUGUGAAAUCCCCGGGCUUAACCUGGGAACUGCGUUUGAA